UACGAAGGGGGCUAGCGUUGCUCGGAAUCACUGGGCGUAAAGGGUGUGUAGGCGGUUCUUUAAGUUUGGUGUGAAAUCUCCCGGCUCAACCGGGAGGGUGCGCCGAAUACUGAGGGACUAGAGUGUGGGAGAGGAAAGUGGAAUUCCUGGUGUAGCGGUGAAAUGCGUAGAUAUCAGGAGGAACACCGGUGGUGUAGACGGCUUUCUGGACCAUAACUGACGCUGAGACACGAAAGCGUGGGUAGCAAACAGG
RNAcentral lists this ribosomal RNA (253 nucleotides) under uncultured bacterium. RNAcentral describes it as "partial 16S ribosomal RNA". It matches the Rfam family "Bacterial small subunit ribosomal RNA", at positions 524 to 776 of the family's 1533-position model. The record is from RNAcentral.